UACAGAGGUCUCAAGCGUUGUUCGGAUUCAUUGGGCGUAAAGGGUGCGUAGGCGGCGCGGUAAGUCGGGUGUGAAAUCUCGGAGCUUAACUCCGAAACUGCAUUCGAUACUGCCCGGCUAGAGGUAGGUAGGGGAGAUCGGAAUUCCUGGUGUAGCGGUGAAAUGCGCAGAUAUCAGGAGGAACACCGGUGGCGAAGGCGGAUCUCUGGGCCUUACCUGACGCUCAGGCGCGAAAGCUAGGGGAGCAAACGGG
RNAcentral lists this ribosomal RNA (253 nucleotides) under uncultured bacterium. Its description in RNAcentral is "partial 16S ribosomal RNA". It matches the Rfam family "Bacterial small subunit ribosomal RNA", at positions 524 to 776 of the family's 1533-position model. The record is from RNAcentral.